RNAcentral lists this long non-coding RNA (874 nucleotides) under Eucalyptus grandis. RNAcentral's name for it is "long non-coding RNA (EGRA_LNC005481)". The record is from RNAcentral. Lineage: Eukaryota; Viridiplantae; Streptophyta; Magnoliopsida; Myrtales; Myrtaceae.
GAAAGUGGGUAUUACAUGAAAAUGGUUGGAAUGGACAUCGACCUCCACCAUCUUCACGCCUUCUCCAUCUUCAAGGUCCUAAUCUAAACCUAAUCUAAGAAAUUUAUGACUAGGUGCAUACAAAUGAAAGAAACAAUCAUCACAACUAAGAUCAAAGCAAUUGGGGUAGAACCCAUGUAUGAUUGGCUCUAAGAAAAAAGCACAGAAAUCAAUGCACUUUAUAAAGAGCAACUUUCAUGAAUGGAAUCUCCUGAGGUGUAUCGAGUUCAAGUAAAGUCAAAUUCAUGGCCGAAAAGCAACAAUUGCUAAAGCAUGCAAAUCAAUCAUAAGCAAAUCAAAGAAUGAUGCAUGACAACAGACUUACCAAGUCAUCUAAUCAAUGCAUGAAAAUCAUGAAAUUUGAACAUGACGUAGGGUUAAAUGUGAAGAAAAAGUUUGAUUUAGACAUUCAACCCUAAAUCUAUGUGCAAAAGGUCACACAAAUCCAUUAACAUUGAUAUGUGACUUGUCAUUUAGAAGCAAAAUGCAUGACAAUUUCAGUUGUGGUAUACCGAGUUGAUGCAUGGUUUUUACAUGGUCAGUGAUCUUCAAAUGAGAUAUGCCAUGUAUCAUUGCGAAGCUUAUGAUAUGCUCUAAGUAUGUCUAGAAAGCAUCAAGCAUCAAGUAUGCUCUUAAGGAACUUGAUUGAAGACAUUUUCAUGGAAACGCAAUCAAUUAAAAUCACAGCAGGGAUUGCACAAAACAUGGAUGACAUUCAUUGAAAUGAAGACAUAAAGAAAAUUCAUGAAAGUCCAAGUAUAUAGAAGGAAAUUUCCCAAUCAUCUAUCAUGAGACAUCGAAGUCCUACAUUGUUCACAAAAAUCUAUAUGAAAAA